ACUCCUACGGGAGGCAGCAGUGGGGAAUUUUGGACAAUGGGCGAAAGCCUGAUCCAGCAAUGCCGCGUGAGUGAAGAAGGCCUUCGGGUUGUAAAGCUCUUUUGUCAGGGAAGAAACGGUGAAAGCUAAUAUCUUUUGCUAAUGACGGUACCUGAAGAAUAAGCACCGGCUAACUACGUGCCAGCAGCCGCGGUAAUACGUAGGGUGCAAGCGUUAAUCGGAAUUACUGGGCGUAAAGCGUGCGCAGGCGGUUUUGUAAGUCUGAUGUGAAAUCCCCGGGCUCAACCUGGGAAUUGCAUUGGAGACUGUAAGGCUAGAAUCUGGCAGAGGGGGGUAGAAUUCCACGUGUAGCAGUGAAAUGCGUAGAUAUGUGGAGGAACACCGAUGGCGAAGGCAGCCCCCUGGGUCAAGAUUGACGCUCAUGCACGAAAGCGUGGGGAGCAAACAGGAUUAGAUACCCCAGUAGUCCCAUG
RNAcentral lists this ribosomal RNA (473 nucleotides) under uncultured organism. Its description in RNAcentral is "partial 16S ribosomal RNA". It matches the Rfam family "Bacterial small subunit ribosomal RNA", at positions 335 to 799 of the family's 1533-position model. The record is from RNAcentral.